AUUGAACGCUGGCGGCAGGCCUAACACAUGCAAGUCGAGCGAGCGGCGGACGGGUGAGUAAUGUCUGGGAAACUGCCUGAUGGCGGGGGAUAAAUAUUGGAAACGGUAGCUACUACCGCAUACCAUCAGAUGUGCCCAGAUGGGAUUAGCUAGUGGGUGGGGUAACGGCUCCCCUCGGCGACGACCCCUCGCUGGUCUGAGAGGUUGACCAGCCACACGGGAACUGAGACACGGUCCAGACUCCUACGGGAGGCAGCAGUGGGGAAUAUUGCACAAUGGGCGCAAGCCGGAUGCAGCCAUGCCGCGUGUGUGAAGAAGGCCUUCGGGUUGUAAAGCACUUUCAGCGGGGAGGCGUUACCCGCAGAAGAAGCACCGGCUAACUCCGUGCCAGCAGCCGCGGUAAUUC
Molecule: ribosomal RNA, 406 nt
Filed under: uncultured bacterium
Lineage: Bacteria
Description: partial 16S ribosomal RNA
Rfam family: Bacterial small subunit ribosomal RNA
Source: RNAcentral